UGGGACCCAGGAAACCAUCCUCUUGAACC
Molecule: non-coding RNA, 29 nt
Filed under: Cricetulus griseus (Chinese hamster)
Lineage: Eukaryota; Metazoa; Chordata; Mammalia; Rodentia; Cricetidae
Source: RNAcentral